RNAcentral lists this ribosomal RNA (497 nucleotides) under uncultured bacterium. RNAcentral's name for it is "partial 16S ribosomal RNA". It matches the Rfam family "Bacterial small subunit ribosomal RNA", at positions 28 to 507 of the family's 1533-position model. The record is from RNAcentral.
GAUGAACGCUGGCGGCGUGCCUAAUACAUGCAAGUCGAGCGAACAGACGAGGAGCUUGCUCCUCUGACGUUAGCGGCGGACGGGUGAGUAACACGUGGAUAACCUACCUAUAAGACGGGGAUAACUUCGGGAAACCGGCGCUAAUACCGGAUAAUAUAUUGAACCGCAUGGUUCAAUAGUGAAAUACGGUUUUGCUGUCACUUAUAGAUGGAUCCGCGCCGCAUUAGCUAGUUGGUAAGGUAACGGGUUACCAAGGCAACGAGGCGUAGCCGACCUGAGAGGGGGAUCGGCCACACGGGAACUGAGACGCGGUCAAUACUCCUACGGGAGGCAGCAGUAGGGAAUCUUCCGCAAUGGGCGAAAGCAUGACGGAGCAACGCCGCGUGAGUGAUGAAGGUCUUCGGAUCGUAAAACUCUGUUAUGAGGGAAGAACAAAUGUGUAAGUAACUAUGCACGUCUUGACGGUACCUAAUCAGAAAGCAACGGCUAACUACGUG